GAUGAACGCUGACAGCAUGCUUAACACAUGCAAGUCAACUGUGGCGGACGGGUGAGUAACGCGUAAAGAACUUGCCUCACAGCUAGGGACAACAUUUGGAAACGAAUGCUAAUACCUGAUACUGUGAGAGAGCUUUGCGUCCCAUUAGCUAGUUGGAGAGGUAACGGCUCACCAAGGCGAUGAUGGGUAGCCGGCCUGAGAGGGUGAUCGGCCACAAGGGGACUGGGACACCGCCCUUAGUCAUACGGGGGGCAUCAGUGAAGAAUUGUGGACAAUGGACCAAAGUCUGAUCCAGCAAUUCUGUGUGCACGAUGAAGUUUUCGGGAUGUAAAGUGCUUUCAGUUGGGAAGCGGUACCAACAGAAGAAGUGACGGCUAAAUACGUGCCAGCAGCCGCGGUAAUUC
This 404-nucleotide ribosomal RNA is filed under the name uncultured bacterium. Its description in RNAcentral is "partial 16S ribosomal RNA". It matches the Rfam family "Bacterial small subunit ribosomal RNA", at positions 28 to 526 of the family's 1533-position model. The record is from RNAcentral.